UGUUUGAUUUGCUUUGAAAUCGAUUAUCCGGAUUUUCGAUUAUACGGAACACCCCUGGUUUUAUUUGAUCCGGAUAAUCGGGAUUCUACUGUACUACCGUUCCGAUAUAUCCAUAUAAUAUUCUCAUCAAUAAAAAAAAUUAAUAAACAUCUCAUCUAGAUUGCUACGAGUAUAUCGAACAAUGUAAAAUUAAAUGACAUAGUACUUAGCUUGGAAUAAGGUUUUGAGGGUCUACUUAAGGUCCUGAAACUGGAGCAAGGUAGUAAGUAAGUAAGCAAAUAAGGUCUAUGAAUCAAAUUCUAGACGGGCAUAAGGAAGGAAGGAGUUAAAGUGGUCACUUGGAACGAAAGUCAGCAGAUGAUCUACAAGGGUUCUUGGUACGAAGAGAUGACUAAUGCACACUAUGGUCAUUCACGGCUUUGGAUUCGAAUCACUUGGUUAAGGUAUAAACUAGUGAUGCAUCGCAAACGUUUUUAACAUACAUACAUACAUAUGUAUGUACCUCGCAUGCCCAAGACCAACAUGAAGAUUUAAUUUAAUCGUAUUUGGCGGAAGGAGCUAAAGAAUACUCAUUUAACUAGUGUGCAAUGGAGUCCAGAUAAGCGUUUAAUAUUAUUUGGGUUAGCUAAUGGUGAAUGCCAUCUUUAUGACAACCAAGGAAAUUUUGCGAUGAAGCUGAAUAUACAGUGCGUCACCCUUAGUCCAAAUAGAAAUUUUAGAAUCUCGGCACUUUGUUGGUAUAGCGGACGGGCACCAUCCAACCGACCAGUUCUAGCUGUUUGUUUUGAGACGUGCAAAUUGCAAAUUAUGCGAAAUGAAAGCGAUGACGCCCCAGUUAUCAUCGAUACUGGUAUGCGAAAUAUAGCUGCUGAGUGGAAUCAAGACGGUUCUGUGCUUUCUGUUUGUGGAAUUCUUAUAGAUUUCAAUACUUCGAAAGAAUAGAAUCAAGUAAAUUUUUACUCCCCAUUCGGACAUUUGAUACGCACUUUAAAGGUUCCAGGGAAUGAGAUCUCUUCACUUUCAUGGGAAGGAAAAUCGCUACGCAUUGCAAUGGCUGUCGAUUCAUUCAUAUAUUUUGCAAAUAUACGUCCAGAUUAUAUGUGGUGUUAUUUUGAAAAAACGGUUGUUUUUCUUAAUAAAAGCAAUACCAAUCAAACGCGAAAUUCAAUGACCAAUGUUAUCACUUUCUGGAAUACAGUUUCUAAUCAGAGUUUCCUAAAGGAAGUCGAGCCAGCAUUGGGGAUGGCUGCUUGCAACGAGCAUUGUGUUUUAGCUGUAGAAUGCUUAAAUAGUAAUAUGAAGGAAAACAUUGUAACUGUUUCAACAAAUCCAAUUCAGAGUGACGAUAAAUGCUAUCAAUUAAUGUUGUGCAGUUUUAUUGGUACUACUGUGGACUGGGAUGCAUUUUCUUUUUAUGCGAAUGCAUAUUUGCAUUUGAAUUGGAAGUACGCGUACAAAAUGGACAUUUGUAAAGAAUUUCACCAGUAUGUUGUGCCAUAUGUUCCUGAAAAUACGAAUGAAGACAAAUUGAUAU
Bactrocera dorsalis (oriental fruit fly) is the source of this 1534-nucleotide long non-coding RNA. RefSeq lists it as uncharacterized. The record is from RefSeq and is a predicted model, not a curated record. The transcript is spliced from 5 exons. Lineage: Eukaryota; Metazoa; Arthropoda; Insecta; Diptera; Tephritidae.